GAUAAGGUGGCUGAUGAAAGUGUUAGACUGUAAAUCUAAAGAUGAGAUGUUCUCUCUUAUUA
Molecule: transfer RNA, 62 nt
Filed under: Cylindraustralia sp. HS-2014
Lineage: Eukaryota; Metazoa; Arthropoda; Insecta; Orthoptera; Cylindrachetidae
Description: tRNA-Tyr
Rfam family: tRNA
About the family: Transfer RNA (tRNA) molecules are approximately 80 nucleotides in length. Their secondary structure includes four short double-helical elements and three loops (D, anti-codon, and T loops).
Source: RNAcentral